Molecule: long non-coding RNA, 218 nt
Filed under: Elaeis guineensis (African oil palm)
Lineage: Eukaryota; Viridiplantae; Streptophyta; Magnoliopsida; Arecales; Arecaceae
Description: long non-coding RNA (EGUI_LNC066076)
Source: RNAcentral
GUGGAACCGUCGACUCUCGCCCUCCAACUCUCGAAGCCUCUUCCUCAAAACUUCAGACUCCGCCUCGGCAUCCUUGACCGACUGCUGCUCGUAGGCCAGUUGAAUCUUCAGCCACUGCAGUUCGGCCUUCUCCUACCCAAGGUCCACAGACAGUUCUUCCAUGGUCCCCCUCAAAGAGCGGAGCUCGUCGGAGCCUUGUGCAGAGGCAGACUGGACUC